AAGCCAUGGUGUGGACACUUCACUAGCAUACCCUUAAACCUCUCACAGGUUUCCUACAAAGUUUCAGUUGGUUUCUGCCUGAAUUACAAUAUCUCAUCAAUUUGUCU
This 107-nucleotide small nucleolar RNA is filed under the name Nicotiana tabacum (common tobacco). Its description in RNAcentral is "Plant small nucleolar RNA R71". It matches the Rfam family "Plant small nucleolar RNA R71". Rfam says of the family: R71 is a member of the C/D box family of snoRNAs containing the C (UGAUGA) and D (CUGA) box motifs. Multiple nearly identical copies of this snoRNA have been identified in Arabidopsis, and it is thought to function as a 2'-O-ribose methylation guide for 18S ribosomal RNA. The record is from Rfam by way of RNAcentral. Lineage: Eukaryota; Viridiplantae; Streptophyta; Magnoliopsida; Solanales; Solanaceae.